Molecule: ribosomal RNA, 460 nt
Filed under: uncultured bacterium
Lineage: Bacteria
Description: partial 16S ribosomal RNA
Rfam family: Bacterial small subunit ribosomal RNA
Source: RNAcentral
CCUACGGGGGGCAGCAGUGAGGAAUAUUGGUCAAUGGACGAGAGUCUGAACCAGCCAAGUAGCGUGAAGGAUGACUGCCCUAUGGGUUGUAAACUUCUUUUAUAUGGGAAUAAAAUGUUCCACGUGUGGGAUUUUGUAUGUACCAUAUGAAUAAGGAUCGGCUAACUCCGUGCCAGCAGCCGCGGUAAUACGGAGGAUCCGAGCGUUAUCCGGAUUUAUUGGGUUUAAAGGGAGCGUAGGUGGAUUGUUAAGUCAGUUGUGAAAGUUUGCGGCUCAACCGUAAGAUUGCAGUUGAAACUGGCAGUCUUGAGUACAGUAGAGGUGGGCGGAAUUCGUGGUGUAGCGGUGAAAUGCGUAGAUAUCACGAAGAACUCCGAUUGCGAAGGCAGUUCACUGGACUGCAACUGACACUGAGGCUCGAAAGUGUGGGUAUCAAACAGGAUUAGAUACCCUUGUAGUC